UGAACCGGAGGCUCCUGUACCGGCUGCAUCCGGAGCAGGGCAUGCCGGCCGGCGUGUGCGUGGACGCUGCGGGGAAGCUCUGGGUGGCCUCUGCGUCGAUAGAGGGGAAGGUGCUGUGCACGGUGGAGCUGCCUGUGUACAGGGUCACCUCCUGCUGCUUCGGGGACCCGGCUACGACAACCUCUACGUGACCUCCGCGGCGGACCGCCUGAGUCCGGAGCACUUGUUACGGGAGCCCCGGGCUGGACACAUCUUCAAGGUCACGGGCUUUGGGGUGAGAGGAGGCCCCC
This 290-nucleotide long non-coding RNA is filed under the name Homo sapiens (human). Its description in RNAcentral is "non-protein coding lnc-PLCXD1-4:1". Lineage: Eukaryota; Metazoa; Chordata; Mammalia; Primates; Hominidae. The record is from RNAcentral.